This 467-nucleotide ribosomal RNA is filed under the name uncultured bacterium. RNAcentral describes it as "partial 16S ribosomal RNA". It matches the Rfam family "Bacterial small subunit ribosomal RNA", at positions 28 to 507 of the family's 1533-position model. The record is from RNAcentral.
GACGAACGCUAGCGGCGUGCUUAACACAUGCAAGUCGAACGGUGAAGCAGAGCUUGCUCUGUGGAUCAGUGGCGAACGGGUGAGUAACACGUGAGUAACCUGCCCUUGACUCUGGGAUAAGCGUUGGAAACGACGUCUAAUACCGGAUACGAGCUGAGACCGCAUGGUCAUCAGUUGGAAAGAUUUUUUGGUCAAGGAUGGACUCGCGGCCUAUCAGCUUGUUGGUGAGGUAAUGGCUCACCAAGGCGACGACGGGUAGCCGGCCUGAGAGGGUGACCGGCCACACUGGGACUGAGACACGGCCCAGACUCCUACGGGAGGCAGCAGUGGGGAAUAUUGCACAAUGGGCGCAAGCCUGAUGCAGCAACGCCGCGUGAGGGAUGACGGCCUUCGGGUUGUAAACCUCUUUUAGUAGGGAAGAAGCGAAAGUGACGGUACCUGCAGAAAAAGCACCGGCUAACUACGUG